RNAcentral lists this ribosomal RNA (1343 nucleotides) under uncultured bacterium. Its description in RNAcentral is "16S ribosomal RNA". It matches the Rfam family "Bacterial small subunit ribosomal RNA", at positions 28 to 1378 of the family's 1533-position model. The record is from RNAcentral.
GACGAACGCUGGCGGCGUGCUUAGCACAUGCAAGUCGAACGGAAAGGCCCUGCUUUUGUGGGGUGCUCGAGUGGCGAACGGGUGAGUAACACGUGAGUAACCUGCCCUUGACUUUGGGAUAACUUCAGGAAACUGGGGCUAAUACCGGAUAGGAGCUCCUGCUGCAUGGUGGGGGUUGGAAAGUUUCGGCGGUUGGGGAUGGACUCGCGGCUUAUCAGCUUGUUGGUGGGGUAGUGGCUUACCAAGGCUUUGACGGGUAGCCGGCCUGAGAGGGUGACCGGCCACAUAGGGACUGAGAUACGGCCCAGACUCCUACGGGAGGCAGCAGUGGGGAAUAUUGCACAAUGGGCGGAAGCCUGAUGCAGCAACGCCGCGUGCGGGAUGACGGCCUUCGGGUUGUAAACCGCUUUCGCCUGUGACGAAGCGUGAGUGACGGUAAUGGGUAAAGAAGCACCGGCUAACUACGUGCCAGCAGCCGCGGUGAUACGUAGGGUGCGAGCGUUGUCCGGAUUUAUUGGGCGUAAAGGGCUCGUAGGUGGUUGAUCGCGUCGGAAGUGUAAUCUUGGGGCUUAACCCUGAGCGUGCUUUCGAUACGGGUUGACUUGAGGAAGGUAGGGGAGAAUGGAAUUCCUGGUGGAGCGGUGGAAUGCGCAGAUAUCAGGAGGAACACCAGUGGCGAAGGCGGUUCUCUGGGCCUUUCCUGACGCUGAGGAGCGAAAGCGUGGGGAGCGAACAGGCUUAGAUACCCUGGUAGUCCACGCUGUAAACGGUGGGUACUAGGUGUGGGGUCCAUUCCACGGGUUCCGUGCCGUAGCUAACGCUUUAAGUACCCCGCCUGGGGAGUACGGCCGCAAGGCUAAAACUCAAAGGAAUUGACGGGGCCCCGCACAAGCGGCGGAGCAUGCGGAUUAAUUCGAUGCAACGCGUAGAACCUUACCUGGGUUUGACAUGGAUCGGGAGUGCUCAGAGAUGGGUGUGCCUCUUUUGGGGUCGGUUCACAGGUGGUGCAUGGCUGUCGUCAGCUCGUGUCGUGAGAUGUUGGGUUAAGUCCCGCAACGAGCGCAACCCUUGUUCACUGUUGCCAGCACGUUAUGGUGGGGACUCAGUGGAGACCGCCGGGGUCAACUCGGAGGAAGGUGGGGAUGACGUCAAGUCAUCAUGCCCCUUAUGUCCAGGGCUUCACGCAUGCUACAAUGGCUGGUACAGAGAGUGGCGAGCCUGUGAGGGUGAGCGAAUCUCGGAAAGCCGGUCUCAGUUCGGAUUGGGGUCUGCAACUCGACCUCAUGAAGUCGGAGUCGCUAGUAAUCGCAGAUCAGCAACGCUGCGGUGAAUACGUUCCCGGG